GCUUGCUUGGCUCAGCUGGUUAGAGCGCAGGUCUCAUAUAUUUCAUAUGACGAGUAUCUACUCGGUAAUCCUGAGGUCGCAAGUUCGAUCCUUGCAGCGAGCA
Transfer RNA from Rhizopogon vesiculosus, 103 nucleotides. It matches the Rfam family "tRNA". Rfam says of the family: Transfer RNA (tRNA) molecules are approximately 80 nucleotides in length. Their secondary structure includes four short double-helical elements and three loops (D, anti-codon, and T loops). The record is from Rfam. NCBI's taxonomy places the organism in Eukaryota, Fungi, Basidiomycota, Agaricomycetes, Boletales, Rhizopogonaceae.